AGUGAACGCUGGCGGUAGGCCUAACACAUGCAAGUCGAACGGCAGCACUGUAAGAGCUUGCUCUUACGGGUGGCGAGUGGCGGACGGGUGAGGAAUACAUCGGAAUCUACUUUUUCGUGGGGGGUAACGUAGGGAAACUUACGCUAAUACCGCAUACGACCUACGGGUGAAAGCAGGGGAUCUUCGGACCUUGCGCGAUUGAAUGAGCCGAUGUCGGAUUAGCUAGUUGGCGGGGUAAAGGCCCACCAAGGCGACGAUCCGUAGCUGGUCUGAGAGGAUGAUCAGCCACACUGGAACUGAGACACGGUCCAGACUCCUACGGGAGGCAGCAGUGGGGAAUAUUGGACAAUGGGCGCAAGCCUGAUCCAGCCAUACCGCGUGGGUGAAGAAGGCCUUCGGGUUGUAAAGCCCUUUUGUUGGGAAAGAAAAGCAGCAGGUUAAUACCCCGCUGUUCUGACGGUACCAAAAGAAUAAGCACCGGCUAACUUCGUG
RNAcentral lists this ribosomal RNA (492 nucleotides) under uncultured bacterium. RNAcentral describes it as "partial 16S ribosomal RNA". It matches the Rfam family "Bacterial small subunit ribosomal RNA", at positions 29 to 507 of the family's 1533-position model. The record is from RNAcentral.